UGGGGAAUUUUGGACAAUGGGCGAAAGCCUGAUCCAGCAAUGCCGCGUGUGUGAAGAAGGCCUUCGGGUUGUAAAGCACUUUUGUCCGGAAAGAAAUCCUUGGCUCUAAUACAGUCGGGGGAUGACGGUACCGGAAGAAUAAGCACCGGCUAACUACGUGCCAGCAGCCGCGGUAAUACGUAGGGUGCAAGCGUUAAUCGGAAUUACUGGGCGUAAAGCGUGCGCAGGCGGUUUGCUAAGACCGAUGUGAAAUCCCCGGGCUCAACCUGGGAACUGCAUUGGUGACUGGCAGGCUAGAGUAUGGCAGAGGGGGGUAGAAUUCCACGUGUAGCAGUGAAAUGCGUAGAGAUGUGGAGGAAUACCGAUGGCGAAGGCAGCCCCCUGGGCCAAUACUGACGCUCAUGCACGAAAGCGUGGGGAGCAAACAGGAUUAGAUACCCUGGUAGUCCACGCCCUAAACGAUGUCAACUAGUUGUUGGGGAUUCAUUUCCUUAGUAACGUAGCUAACGCGUGAAGUUGACCGCCUGGGGAGUACGUCGCAAGAUUAAAACUCAAAUGAAUUGACGGGGUCAUAGCUGUUUCCU
Molecule: ribosomal RNA, 584 nt
Filed under: uncultured bacterium
Lineage: Bacteria
Description: partial 16S ribosomal RNA
Rfam family: Bacterial small subunit ribosomal RNA
Source: RNAcentral